AAUUCCUCAUUUUGGAUGCUUCUUACCUGCCUUGUAGUAAUAAAAAAUUUAUUUUCUGUUGCAGUAGAAGCCGUUUUGGUCUUAUAGUAUUGACAAGCUCAUUUAGUAGAUGUUUGUUUUACUUGAAACAUUAUGCACAUUCUGAUCUUUUUUUUUUUUUUAAAAAAAGAGGUAAUUCAUUUUUUAGCCAAAAGACUGCUGUACCGUACAUCCGCCUUGGCCGUACAGCAUUUUUUUUUUUUUUAAAAAAGAGGUAAUUCAUUUUUUAGCCCUUUACCUCACCCAAGUUUCGAACACAAGUGGUCAGCCAAAGAAAGCUGCUUGAAAACCACUUGGCCACCCCCUUGGAGGCACAUUCUGAUCUGAUUUGAUUGUGCUGAUUAAUCUGUGCUUUUAGUAUCUAUUCUCGGUAAUCUGCUUUUGAAAAGGAGUUAUUUUGUAUUGUUUUCUUUGACUGUUUCAUUUAUGUUCAUGUUAUUAAUAUGUUAUUGUUGGUUUUCUAAUUACCGAUGC
This 513-nucleotide long non-coding RNA is filed under the name Citrus sinensis (sweet orange). RNAcentral's name for it is "long non-coding RNA (CSIN_LNC002839)". The record is from RNAcentral. Lineage: Eukaryota; Viridiplantae; Streptophyta; Magnoliopsida; Sapindales; Rutaceae.